RNAcentral lists this small RNA (132 nucleotides) under Escherichia coli. RNAcentral's name for it is "RtT sRNA". It matches the Rfam family "RtT RNA". From Rfam's summary of the family: This family represents a bacterial cis-regulatory element known as RtT RNA. The record is from RNAcentral. Lineage: Bacteria; Pseudomonadati; Pseudomonadota; Gammaproteobacteria; Enterobacterales; Enterobacteriaceae.
GUUUGCACUCAUCGGGGAAGGGUGAGAACCUUCGACUAAGGUUCGAUUCGAGCGAAAGCGAGAGAACGUUGCCACAGGCAACGGCCCGAAGGGUGAGGAGCGAAGCGACGAAUAAUCCUUCCCCCACCAUCA